UCGCCCUCCGCCGCCACCAAGCCGGUUUCCUCUUUCCGGCGCUCCGGGUGCGAGAAGCUGGUCGGACCGCCCAGCCUGCGAAGCGCUGUGCCGUCCCGGCGCCGGCCUGAGGACCCCGAAACUACCGUUCCCUCGCCGGGCAGCUUGGGCGCCAUGAACGGAGCGGGUAUUCCAGCAGGACUGAAUUCGGAGAAGGUAGCGGCUCUGCUUCAGAAACUGAAUUCCGACCCUCAAUUCGUACUGGCCCAGAAUGUCGGCACCACUCACGACCUGCUGGACAUCUGUCUGAAGAGGGCCACGGUCCAGGGUACUCAGCAUGUGUUCCAGCACGCCGUGCAUCAGGAAGGCAAGCCCGUCACCAACCAGAAGAGUUCAGGGCGAUGCUGGAUCUUUUCUUGUCUGAAUGUUAUGAGACUUCCAUUCAUGAGAAGAUUCAAUAUUGAAGAAUUUGAAUUUAGUCAGUCUUACCUCUUUUUCUGGGACAAGGUUGAACGCUGUUAUUUCUUCUUAAAUGCUUUUGUGGACACAGCUCAGAAAAAGGAGCCUGAGGAUGGUAGGCUGGUGCAGUAUUUGCUUAUGAAUCCUGCCAAUGAUGGAGGACAAUGGGAUAUGCUUGUCAAUAUUGUUGAAAAAUAUGGUGUUAUCCCUAAGAAGUGCUUCCCUGAAACUUACACAACAGAGGCAACCAGAAGGAUGAAUGAUAUUCUGAAUCACAAGAUGAGAGAAUUCUGCAUACGACUGCGGAACCUGGUACACAGUGGUGCAACCAAAGAAGAAAUCUCAGCCACACAAGACUCCAUGAUGGAGGAGAUAUUCAGAGUGGUGUGCAUCUGUUUGGGUAAUCCACCAGAGACAUUCACCUGGGAAUAUCGAGACAAAGAUAAAAACUAUCAAAAGAUUGGCCCUGUAACACCCUUGAAGUUUUACAGGCAACAUGUCAAGCCACUCUUCAAUAUGGAAGAUAAGAUUUGUUUAGUGAAUGACCCUCGGCCUCAGCACAAGUACAACAAACUUUACACAGUGGACUAUUUAAGCAAUAUGGUCGGAGGGAGAAAAACUCUGUAUAACAACCAGCCCGUUGACUUCUUGAAAAAGAUGGUUGCUGCCUCCAUCAAAGAUGGAGAGGCUGUAUGGUUUGGCUGUGAUGUUGGGAAACACUUCAAUGGCAAACUGGGCCUCAGUGACAUGAAUGUCUAUGACCAUGAGUUGGUGUUCGGUGUCUCCAUGAAGAACAUGAAUAAAGCUGAGAGGCUGACUUUUGGCGAGUCACUUAUGACCCACGCCAUGACCUUCACUGCUGUCUCAGAAAAGGAUGAUCAGGAGGGUGGUUUCAUAAAAUGGAGAGUGGAAAAUUCUUGGGGUGAAGACCAUGGCCACAAAGUGACCACAGACAUCAAGAAUGAGGGUGAUCAGUUUUCCAAGAAGAGACUGAGGGGGGAAACCUCCCUCUAUGCAGAGGCCCCAGUUAUCUUGAAGUUCCUGGAGGGGAAGAAGAGCUAAAGACAGGUUCCCCAACCAGGAAUUGAAUCUGUGCCCCUUGCAUUGGAAGCGCAGUCUUAACCUCUGGACCACCAGGAAAGUCCUUUUCUCUCUCUCUUUUUUUUUAACUUUUACAAAUUUUUUAAAAUGAAGCUUUUCUGGAAAAGUUGUAGAAAAGUAUUACCAACAUGACAAAUAUUUAAGUAGUAUGAAAGGUAAUACCGUGAAAAAGCAGGGUUCCCUCCUACCCUUAAUAUCCUUUCCCUCCAAAGCACUUAGGAUUCCCAGUUUCUUCCACAUGCUUACAGCGAUUGCAAUACACAGAGAAAACCGCCUCACUCCUUUCACUGCUGGGCACUUCUCCAGUGUCAGAUAUUCCAUGAUUUACUCACCAGUCCCAAAAGUGCUGCUUCUUACACACUUUAAGUCGGCUAAGAGUAGAAGGCAUCUCCCUAGCCGUCCAUUGCCAACACUUGUGUGUGGGGCGUGCUGUGUGCUGACGCAGGGAUGGGUGUUAAGAUCUGGAGAGAGGCAGAGCCCCUUCCCUUGGGAACUCAGAGCCCAGUGGAGGAGGUGGGCAUUUAGGAAAGGUCUGAGGGCUCUCACGGGUCUGUGCGGCUGGGGUGGGGGUGGGGUGGCCUGGUACUUGCUCUUCUGGCUUCAACUUCUCUGCCAAGAUGGAAGGUAAACACAGCUGCCUUCCAGACCGUGGCACCGGCGAAAGUGUUUAUAGUCAGGGGAGGGGAUCCCGCAGGAAGGAAGUAAAACCAGAAACCUCGACCCAAAGAUAUCAUAGAGCAUAUGGUCGUCAUGACACCUGUCAAAUCUGGGGAAACAGGGUCUUGUCCAGCAGAGGUAGUAGGCUCAUAAGGAAUGGGAGACCUGGGGCCAGGAAAAAGUGACCAAGGACACACAUCACCUACUUGCAAACGUUGUCUGCCUUCCUCGGGGCAUUCCUCUCCCACACCGCCUGCACAUCCCACCCCUGGCAUUCCUGAAGGGCUUUCCCUCCCCUCCCCUUGGCCUUGCUUCACCUGAUCAGAGACAGCCUCCCCCGGGGGGCUUCUAGGUAGAACCCUAUGGGGACGAGCCCAGGGCUCACAGUGACAGCAAAUCCUGCUCUGGAGGUGCUGUCCCUGUGCAUGGUUGACCAUUGACCCUGUCACCUAAAUUACGCCAUGUCCCAGGAAAAAUAAGCGGGGGUGCUGGGAGGGAGUCCGGACACUGGAGAGAGCCAGGGCAGGUGUGGCACGAGCAUGGGGAGCAAGACAGGGAAGGCUGUGCAUUAGGAAAGCGCGAGUCUGGAUUUGUUGAGGCGAAAGUGGGGCAGCGGAGGCCACCUGGUCUCUGUGGGACGACACCCACGGGGAGGAGAAGAGAAAGCACCUGUGUAGAGAGUAGAUGGCCCGUCUGCAACAACUUUUCAUGGACUCUUCCAGGGAGGCCGUGAGGAACAAGGGAGAGGUCGCGUCUGUGUAAUCCCAGCGGCUCCUUGGCCAGAGACUACAAGGGGAGAAGACUGGCCCAGGCGGUCCAGCAGAGGAGAGAGGGAAGAAGUAGGCGCGUCAGCCCUUGCCCUCCCAUCUCAGCCUCAGGGACAUCCAGAGCAAGCACUGCAUCUGUUCUUUUCAAAUGUAAAAAAUAAUUUUACUGAAAAGAUAAUUUAACAUUACGUUUAUUUUUAAACUUAAAGUUUUUAAAGUUAUUAAAGUAAUAUAUUGACAUGAUUCAACA
This is an RNA transcript of Bubalus bubalis (water buffalo), 3213 nucleotides long. It is a transcript of the gene named bleomycin hydrolase, with no coding region annotated. The record is from RefSeq and is a predicted model, not a curated record. NCBI's taxonomy places the organism in Eukaryota, Metazoa, Chordata, Mammalia, Artiodactyla, Bovidae. The transcript is spliced from 14 exons.